UACGGGGGGGGCAAGCGUUGUUCGGAAUUACUGGGCGUAAAGGGCUCGUAGGCGGCCAACUAAGUCAGACGUGAAAUCCCUCGGCUUAACCGGGGAACUGCAUCUGAUACUGGAUGGCUUGAGAUUGGGAGAGGGAUGCGGAAUUCCAGGUGUAGCGGUGAAAUGCGCAGAUAUCAGGAGGAACACCGGUGGCGAAGGCGGGUCUCUGGGCCGAUACUGACGCUGAGGAACGAAAGCGUGGGGAGCAAACGGG
This 253-nucleotide ribosomal RNA is filed under the name uncultured bacterium. Its description in RNAcentral is "partial 16S ribosomal RNA". It matches the Rfam family "Bacterial small subunit ribosomal RNA", at positions 524 to 776 of the family's 1533-position model. The record is from RNAcentral.